AGUGAACGCCGGCGGUAGGCCUAACACAUGCAAGUCGAACGGCAGCACAGUAAGAGCUUGCUCUUACGGGUGGCGAGUGGCGGACGGGUGAGGAAUACAUCGGAAUCUACUUUUUCGUAGGGGAUAACGUAGGGAAACUUACGCUAAUACCGCAUACGACCUACGGGUGAAGGCAGGGGAUCUUCGGACCUUGCGCGAUUGAAUGAGCCGAUGUCGGAUUAGCUAGUUGGCGGGGUAAAGGCCCACCAAGGCGACGAUCCGUAGCUGGUCUGAGAGGAUGAUCAGCCACACUGGAACUGAGACACGGUCCAGACUCCUACGGGAGGCAGCAGUGGGGAAUAUUGGACAAUGGGCGCAAGCCUGAUCCAGCCAUACCGCGUGGGUGAAGAAGGCCUUCGGGUUGUAAAGCCCUUUUGUUGGGAAAGAAAAGCAGCAGGUUAAUACCCCGCUGUUCUGACGGUACCCAAAGAAUAAGCACCGGCUAACUUCGUG
This 492-nucleotide ribosomal RNA is filed under the name uncultured bacterium. Its description in RNAcentral is "partial 16S ribosomal RNA". It matches the Rfam family "Bacterial small subunit ribosomal RNA", at positions 29 to 507 of the family's 1533-position model. The record is from RNAcentral.